Molecule: long non-coding RNA, 449 nt
Filed under: Sus scrofa (pig)
Lineage: Eukaryota; Metazoa; Chordata; Mammalia; Artiodactyla; Suidae
Description: lncRNA (ENSSSCG00070006963.1)
Source: RNAcentral
AUGAUGCCUUCGAGGUCCGUGCAUGUUGUCCCAAGUGUCCAUAGCAAGCUGGCAAUCUUGGAAAGUAGGUGUGGUCUGCAGAGCUGGCCUCCUUGGCUGGACUCCUGGAUGGAGUCCAAGAACAGCCAGAGGACAUCUAAAUUUGGGGUAAAUCUGAAGCUGUGGUCGCCAAUCCUUGUUUCAGUACUAAUGCUGACCUUCGGAUACCCGCUGCAAAGCCCUGUUGGAGAAAAACACACCUUUUUUUUCCUUGGCAUCGCUAGGUAAGUUCUCCCCUUGCUGGACCCACCCUCCACCCCCUCUCCUGCCUCCUCCAAGGUUUGCUCAUCCUGCCUGCUGACAUCAAGGCCUGGGUAACGCCCUUCCAUCUCACUAAGACUCAGAGUCUCAGUUUGUGAAAUUAGGGAGUGGACUCUGGAAUGAUGCUUCAGGUGUACUCAGAGAUGAGG